GCGACCCCAGGUCAGGCGGGACUACCCGCUGAAUUUAASCWUAUAAUUAACCGAAGGAAAAAAAACUUACAAGGAUUCCCCUAGUAACGCAAC
RNAcentral lists this ribosomal RNA (93 nucleotides) under Poa anceps subsp. anceps. Its description in RNAcentral is "partial 26S ribosomal RNA". It matches the Rfam family "Eukaryotic large subunit ribosomal RNA", at positions 1 to 92 of the family's 3401-position model. The record is from RNAcentral. Lineage: Eukaryota; Viridiplantae; Streptophyta; Magnoliopsida; Poales; Poaceae.